UGCAUGUCUAGUUCAUGCCGUAUUAAGGCGAAACCGCGAAUGGCUCAUUAAAUCAGUUAUGGUUCCUUGGAUCGUACUUUACUACUUGGAUAACUGUGGCAAUUCUAGAGCUAAUACAUGCAGCAGAGCUCCGACGCCCCUCGGGGCGGACGAGCGCUUUUAUUAGACCAAAACCGAUCGGGGGCAACUCCGUUUCGCGUGGUGACUCUGAAUAACUUUGGGCCGAUCGCACGGGCUUCGUCCCGGCGACGUAUCCUUCAAGUGUCUGCCUUAUCAACUGUCGACGGUAGUUUAAUCGCCUACCGUGGUUUUUACGGGUAACGGGGGAUCAGGGUUCGAUUCCGGAGAGGGAGCCUGAGAAACGGCUACCACAUCCAAGGAAGGCAGCAGGCGCGCAAAUUACCCACUCCCGGCACGGGGAGGUAGUGACGAAAAAUAACGAUACGGGACUCUUUCGAGACCCCGUAAUCGGAAUGAGUACGCUCUAAAUCCGCUAACGACGAACCAUUGGAGGUAAAGUCUGGUGCCAGCAUCCGCGGUAACUCCAGCUCCAAUAGCGUAUAUUAAAGUUGUUGCGGUUAAAAAGCUCGUAGUUGGAUCUGAGUCUCUGCCCGGCGGUCUGCCCCUUCCCGGGGCAGCCUACUGCCGCGACUGCGGGACGUCUGCCGGCUUCCGCCGAUGAUCUUCACCGGUUGUCGGUGGCAGGCCGGCGAGUUUACUUUGAAAAAAUUAGAGUGCUCAAAGCAGGCGCGACGCCUGAAUAAUGGUGCAUGGAAUAAUGGAAUAGGACCUCGGUUCUAUUUUGUUGGUUUUUAGGAACACGAGG
Molecule: ribosomal RNA, 826 nt
Filed under: Pachygnatha degeeri
Lineage: Eukaryota; Metazoa; Arthropoda; Arachnida; Araneae; Tetragnathidae
Description: SSU rRNA
Rfam family: Eukaryotic small subunit ribosomal RNA
Source: RNAcentral